This 1290-nucleotide ribosomal RNA is filed under the name Mycobacterium sp. OAS707. RNAcentral describes it as "partial 23S ribosomal RNA". It matches the Rfam family "Bacterial large subunit ribosomal RNA", at positions 1 to 1215 of the family's 2925-position model. Lineage: Bacteria; Bacillati; Actinomycetota; Actinomycetes; Mycobacteriales; Mycobacteriaceae. The record is from RNAcentral.
UUGUAAGUGUUUAAGGGCGCAUGGUGGAUGCCUUGGCACUGGGAGCCGAUGAAGGACGUGGGAGGCUGCGAUAUGCCUCGGGGAGUUGUCAACCGAGCGUGGAUCCGAGGAUGUCCGAAUGGGGAAACCCGGCACGAGUGAUGUCGUGUCACCCAACGCUGAAUAUAUAGGCGUUGGGGGGGAACGCGGGGAAGUGAAACAUCUCAGUACCCGUAGGAAGAGAAAACAAGUGUGAUUCCGUGAGUAGUGGCGAGCGAAAGCGGAGGAUGGCUAAACCGCGUGCAUGUGAUACCCGGCGGGGGUUGUGUGCGUGGUGUUGUGGGGCUUGUGUUCCUCUCUCCGCCGAGAGGGGCAGCAGUGAUAAAGCAGUGUGUUAGUCGAAGUGGCCUGGGAUGGUCUGUCCGUAGAGGGUGAGAGCCCCGUAGACGAAAACACGCUGCCUGCUGUCGCAGGAUCCCCGAGUAGCAGCGGGCCCGUGGAAUCUGCUGUGAAUCUGCCGGGACCACCCGGUAAGCCUGAAUACUUCCCAGUGACCGAUAGCGGAUUAGUACCGUGAGGGAAUGGUGAAAAGUACCCCGGGAGGGGAGUGAAAGAGUACCUGAAACCGUGCGCUUACAAUCCGUCAAAGCCCUCUUUAUUGUGGGGUGAUGGCGUGCCUUUUGAAGAAUGAGCCUGCGAGUCAGGGACAUGUCGCGAGGUUAACCCGGGUGGGGUAGCCGCAGCGAAAGCGAGUCUGAAUAGGGCGUAUCCAAUCCGUAGGGGUUGGUGUAGUGGUGUGUUCUGGACCCGAAGCGGAGUGAUCUACCCAUGGCCAGGGUGAAGCAGCAGUAAGAUGUUGUGGAGGCCCGAACCCACUUAGGUUGAAGACUGAGGGGAUGAGUUGUGGGUAGGGGUGAAAGGCCAAUCAAACUCCGUGAUAGCUGGUUCUCCCCGAAAUGCAUUUAGGUGCAGCGUUGCGUGUUUUUUACCGGAGGUAGAGCUACUGGAUGGCCGAUGGGCCCUACUAGGUUACUGACGUCAGCCAAACUCCGAAUGCCGGUAAAUGAAAGCGUGGCAGUGAGACGGCGGGGGAUAAGCUCCGUGCGUCGAGAGGGAAACAGCCCAGAUCGCCGGCUAAGGCCCCUAAGCGUGUGCUAAGUGGAAAAGGAUGUGCAGUCGCGAAGACAACCAGGAGGUUGGCUUAGAAGCAGCCACCCUUGAAAGAGUGCGUAAUAGCUCACUGGUCAAGUGAUUGUGCGCCGAUAAUGUAGCGGGGCUCAAGCACACCGCCGAAGCCGCGGCAAUAGUCCG